This is a long non-coding RNA of Gorilla gorilla gorilla (western lowland gorilla), 497 nucleotides long. RefSeq lists it as uncharacterized. The record is from RefSeq and is a predicted model, not a curated record. Lineage: Eukaryota; Metazoa; Chordata; Mammalia; Primates; Hominidae. The transcript is spliced from 3 exons.
GACCAGGGUGAGAGAGGGCAAACUUGAAUGCCCUUCACAAUGGAGAGAUGUGUGCAGACCGGACAGACAUCAGUUCCUUUAUCAGUGCACAGGUAGCUGCAAUGCCUGCAUGUGGAGAGAUAAAACCCAGACAAAGAGGCAGACAUGAGCAGAUGAGCUCCCCCGAACAGGAGACAAGUGGGCUGAGAGGUGAAGGAAGAGGAUGAGGGCAGCCACGAACGCUCAAUGAGACAUGACAAGUCAAGUGUGGAGCCCAAGCCCUUCGCCCAGAGGAGCUCAAAAAAUAUUAGCAGCCGUUACCAUUGGAGCCUCUGCCUCCUAGACCUGCCUCAAUAUCUAUGGAGGGUGGGAGCAGAGUCACUUUUCCUCACUGGACCUCAAUUUACUCCUCAGAAAGACAGCAGUGAUGAUGCCCUCUCAAGAUACCCUCUAACUCCAGAAUCCCUCUCUCUAUUGAUCAUGUAGGAUGAGGCAGUCCAAGUUAAAACAAACACUUU